AAGGGUGUCGCUCCAUUGAAGCUCCUUGUAGAAUAUGUGGCAUUAUGUUUUUGACACAAUUUUUGGGCCGUUAAAUUACUCCACUUUCAAUGAUUGAGAUUGAACCUGACAUGACAAGUAGUUUUAAUUUUUUAAUUAGACAAUCAUUAAUUUUAUUUUCUCUCUCAUAAAAAUAAAAGAAACGAUUUCUCUCUCCUUCCUUUUUCUUAGUAAUCUCUCUUCUUUCUCACACG
RNAcentral lists this long non-coding RNA (233 nucleotides) under Prunus persica (peach). RNAcentral's name for it is "long non-coding RNA (PPER_LNC005007)". Lineage: Eukaryota; Viridiplantae; Streptophyta; Magnoliopsida; Rosales; Rosaceae. The record is from RNAcentral.